GCCGACCAGGGAUCAGCG
This 18-nucleotide non-coding RNA is filed under the name Arabidopsis thaliana (thale cress). The record is from RNAcentral. Lineage: Eukaryota; Viridiplantae; Streptophyta; Magnoliopsida; Brassicales; Brassicaceae.